UACGGAAGGGGCUAGAGUUGUUCGGAAUUACUGGGCGAGAAGAGCGCGUAGGCGGCUGACCAAGUUGGGGGUGAAAUCCCGGAGCUCAACUCCGGAACUGCCUUCAAAACUGGUAGGCUCGAGUCCGGAAGAGGGGCGUGGAAUUCCCAGUGUAGAGGUGAAAUUCGUAGAUAUUGGGUAGAACACCGGUGGCGAAGGCGGCGCCCUGGCCCGGUACUGACGCUGAGGCGCGAAAGCGUGGGGAUCAAACAGG
This 253-nucleotide ribosomal RNA is filed under the name uncultured bacterium. RNAcentral describes it as "partial 16S ribosomal RNA". It matches the Rfam family "Bacterial small subunit ribosomal RNA", at positions 524 to 776 of the family's 1533-position model. The record is from RNAcentral.